RNAcentral lists this ribosomal RNA (1010 nucleotides) under uncultured organism. RNAcentral's name for it is "bacterial SSU rRNA". It matches the Rfam family "Bacterial small subunit ribosomal RNA", at positions 96 to 1154 of the family's 1533-position model. The record is from RNAcentral.
UGGCGAACGGGGUAGUAACAGGUAGAAUGUACCAGAGAGUCGCGAAUAACUUCUCGAAAGAGAUGAGAAUACGCGAUACGUCUUCGGAUGAAAGAUCAUCGCUCUCUGAUCAGCCUGCCUCAUAUCAGCUAGUUGGUACGGUAAUGGCGUACCAAGGCUAUGACGUGUAGGGGAGGUGAGAGCCUGACCCCCACCAAAGGCACUGAGACACUGGCCUUACACCUACGGGUGGCUGCAGUCGAGAAUCUUCCGCAAUGCACGAAAGUGUGACGGAGCGACGCCGCGUGAUGGAUUGAAGGCCUUCGGGUUGUAGACAUCUUUUAUAGAGGAGGAAGUUUAUUGACGUUACUCUAUGAAUAAGGGGCUCCUAACCACGUGCCAGCAGGAGCGGUAAUACGUGGGCCCCAAGCGUUAUCCGGAAUCACUGGGCGUAAAGGGUGCGUAGGUGGAAAUAUUAGUCAGAGGUUAAAGACCCGGGCUCAACCUGGGGAAGGCCUUUGAAACGGUAUUUCUUGAAUGUGUAAGAGGUGAGUGGAACUCUCGGUGUAGGGGUGAAAUCCGUUGAUAUCGAGGGGAACACCAAAAGCGAAGGCAGCUCACUGGUACACUAUUGACACUGAGGCACGAAACCCUGGGUAGCGAAUGGGAUUAGAUACCCCAGUAGUCCAGGGCCUAAACGAUGCAGACUAGCUUUACGGAGUAUCGACCCUCUGUGAGGCGCAGCUAACGCGUUAAGUCUGCCGCCUGGGAAGUACGAGCGCAAGCUUAAAACUCAAAGGAAUAGACGGGGACUCGCACAAGCGGUGGAUCAUGUGGUUUAAUUCGAUGAUAAGCGAAGAACCUUACCAAGACUAGAAAUCUAUGGGAAGACUUUUAGAAAUAAUUGUCGUCUUCGGACUCAUAGACAGGUGAUGCAUGGCCGUCGUCAGCUCGUGGCUUGAGCUGUUCGGUUAAGUCCGGUAACGAGCGCAACCCUCAUCGUAUGUUUUAUAUGUCAUACGAGACUGCCC